CUUCGGCGGCGCGGCCCCCCUCACGGGGGCGCCGCAGCCCCGCCUCUCCGGAGGUGUGGGGCGCCCGCCGGAGGUACGAAACUCUGUAUUAUAG
RNAcentral lists this ribosomal RNA (94 nucleotides) under Coniochaeta sp. NJR102-22. RNAcentral's name for it is "partial 18S ribosomal RNA". The record is from RNAcentral. Lineage: Eukaryota; Fungi; Ascomycota; Sordariomycetes; Coniochaetales; Coniochaetaceae.